Molecule: long non-coding RNA, 1096 nt
Filed under: Lathyrus oleraceus (garden pea)
Lineage: Eukaryota; Viridiplantae; Streptophyta; Magnoliopsida; Fabales; Fabaceae
Description: Pisum sativum (pea) long non-coding RNA (PSAT_LNC039722)
Source: RNAcentral
AUUUAUUUUUAAUAUUAAAUCUCUUCACUCUCUAUUUGACAUUUUUAUCAUAAAACCUACUAAGUCAAAACUAAUGCACAUUUUUUUUCUAAUGCAUUUUUUUUCUAUUCUACUGUAUAAAAUAAGUUUAGAUAAUAAAGGUUUUAUUAUAUUAUAAUGAGAAAUAACAAAGAUCUCAAAAAGUCUAAUAUAAUAUCCAUAAUAGAAUACCACUCACUAUUCUAACCUCAAGAUAUUAAUAAAGUGUCACUUAAAUACUUCUCCUUUCUCUCAAAUCAAACAUUACCUUAGUUGUAACUAAUUAUUAUUUUUAUAUAAUAAAUAAUAAUUAAUAAUUUAAAAAGUAAUAUAAUCAAUAGAAUUAAUUACUUGACUUUACUACUGUAUAUUAUUUAUGGAAGGAUGAAUAAAAUCAGGUCGUUGAUAAAUAAAGUAUAUAUAUGAGACAAACAAAUAUAGAUAUCCAAUAAUUAAUCUAAUUAUUUCUAUGAAUACCCGAUUAUUAUUCGGAUCACAAAUAAACUUAAUGUUAUAUUUUUAUGCAUCUUUAUAUUUUUAUGCGUAUACUUUUCUACUAUCCCAAUUUUAAUAUUUACAAAAAUUUAAAAGAGAAAGCGGAGUACAAGUUAGGUGUUUUCAUGGAAACCCUAAAAUUGGAGAGUAUAUUUGGGUUGUGAGUUAAGUUGAAGCUUUUUAAACGCUAGCGGUAUUUUUGGUUAGGUUCUUAAAAUUAAAUUUGGGUGAGGUUCAGUUUAAUGUUUGAAUUGAAAGGUAAUAUUGCUUAGGUUGUCUGUGUUUGGUUGGAUCUAUCACAGUCGGCAUAUUGAGUAUCAAUUGGUAAAUUUUUUUUAAUAUUAAAUCUCUCACUCUCUAUUUGACAUUUUAUCAUAAAACCUACUAAGUCAAAACUAAUGCCAUUUUUUUUUCUAAUGCACUUUUUUUCUAUUCUACUGUAUAAAAUAAGUUUAGAUAAUAAUUUUAAUUAUAUUAUAUGAGAAAUAACAAAGAUCUCAAAAGGUCUAAUAUAAUAUCCAUAAUAGAAUACCACUCACUAUUCUAACAUCAAGAUAUUAAUAAAGUGCCACUUAAAUACUUC